CACAUGUUUUUGCUGUUUGAACAUAUUGAAUCAUGAGCUGGCAAAAAGCAAUAUAUAGCAUGCUCAUAAUAAAUUUUAUUUACAUUUCUGUUCUCUUCCAUGGACAAUUAUAGACUUCAGACUAGAUCGAGAAAUUACAUUUUAUUGGUGUCACCAGAAGGUCCAGAACUGAUAGAAAUACGACCUUUUACAGUUUGAGCAACCUUGUGAAAUAACCAUUUAACGAUUACUCUUUCUACUGCUACUAAGAUGCUUAGCAUAAGCCAGUAAAAUAAUACUAGGUACUUCUGGUUAUAAGUUCGUCGCCGGCUUUGAUGAUGUUAAGGCUUGAGCAAUGUUGUGAAAUAACCAUUCGGUGAUUCAUUUUUCUACUGCUACUCAGGUUCUUAGCAUAAACUGUAUAAUUAAAUGCCGAUUAUAUAGGUAGUUCUGGUUGCAAAUUGGAUGUAGGCUUUGAAUGAUGUUAUGGCUAAUGAACUUCCAGAAAUUGUAGCUGAGUCUGCAAAGGUAUAGAAUGAAUGGAAAAUUUAUUCUCCUUAGACAUCCUAGCAUAUCCACUGAUGGAUCUAACUUCUGAUUUAUUGUUUGUUAUGUAUCACAACAGUAUAGUAUCCUUCUGAAAGAUGCAGACGCAGGAAGAUUUAUAGUUGAUGGGUGAAGAAUCCAAUGAAGCUGAAGCUAGGCCUAAAUUUAGACUUGUAGUUCCUAAUAGCUCUUGCGGUGGAAUUAUUGGUAAAGAAGGAGCAACAAUCAAGUCAUUCAUUGAAGCUUCAGCGACCCAUAAAACCCGGGAAGUGAAGCCCUCUUCAAUCCUCUACCUCUCUCGCUGCUGUGUCCAGCCUGCUGCCUGCCUGCUGUGUUGCCUCAAAGAAGGGUCGGGGGCACUUGAUGUGGAGGAUGGCGACAAGGAGAAGUGAGGAUUUCGUGAGGACAGAAACAACGGGAGAGAUAAAACAUACUCCUCUGGUGCAUUGAAUUUAGACUGUUUGAUGUUCUGCUGCUGGUCAAUUCAGUUUCCGUGCUCCAGUUUCAUGACGGGAGUUGUCCGUCAGGGGGUAAGUUGUAGGCGCACGCAAGCGCGCAUGUGCUCGUGCAUCUCGGUGUGUGGACACGGGAUGCUCUCUUGCAGUUCAGAGUAAGAGCGAUCAUAUAUGGCUUGAGAUAUUGCAUAGGAAAAGGAUCUACCAGAUCAUCAAUGCAACACAGGACAUCUGAAUUUAACCUUAUCUUUCUCUUUUCUUUUGAAAGGGAUAGAGGAGUGGAAAGGCGUACUGCUUGAUCAGAAACUAAGGAGUUUGCAUCAUUAUUAGCUGCCAGUAUAGCUUACUUUGAGCUUAACCACAUACCUGAUUGUUGUGUAUGAAAGCACAAUCCUAUCAAAUACUCUUCUUUUUUGCU
Molecule: RNA transcript, 1398 nt
Organism: Triticum aestivum (bread wheat)
Lineage: Eukaryota; Viridiplantae; Streptophyta; Magnoliopsida; Poales; Poaceae
Exons: 3
Source: RefSeq, a predicted model, not a curated record